UAUUGCACAAUGGGGGGAACCCUGAUGCAGCGACGCCGCGUGGGUGAAGGAGCGUUUCGGCGCGUAAAGCCCUAUCGGCAGGGAAGAAGGAGGACGGUACCUGACUAAGAAGCCCCGGCUAACUACGUGCCAGCAGCCGCGGUAAUACGUAGGGGGCAAGCGUUAUCCGGAUUUACUGGGUGUAAAGGGAGCGUAGACGGUUAUGCAAGUCUGGAGUGAAAGCCCGGGGCUCAACCCCGGGACUGCUUUGGAAACUGUAAAACUGGAGUGCAGGAGAGGCAGGCGGAAUUCCUAGUGUAGCGGUGAAAUGCGUAGAUAUUAGGAGGAACACCAGUGGCGAAGGCGGCCUGCUGGACUGUAACUGACGUUGAGGCUCGAAGGCGUGGGGAGCAAACAGG
This 398-nucleotide ribosomal RNA is filed under the name uncultured bacterium. RNAcentral's name for it is "bacterial SSU rRNA". It matches the Rfam family "Bacterial small subunit ribosomal RNA", at positions 362 to 776 of the family's 1533-position model. The record is from RNAcentral.